GCAUAUCAAUAAGCGGAGGAAAAGAAAUAACAAUGAUUUCCCUAGUAACGGCGAGUGAAGAGGAAAGAGCUCAAAGUUGGAAACUGUUUGGCUUAGCUAAACCGUAUUGUAAACUGUAGAAACAUUUUCCUGGCACACCAGAUUAAUAAGUCCUUUGGAACAAGGCAUCAUGGAGGGUGAGAAUCCCGUCUUUGAUCUGAGUAGUUGUCUUUUGUGAUAUGUUUUCAAAGAGUCAGGUUGUUUGGGAAUGCAGCCUAAAUUGGGUGGUAAAUCUCACCUAAAGCUAAAUAUUUGCGAGAGACCGAUAGCGAACAAGUACCGUGAGGGAAAGAUGAAAAGAACUUUGAAAAGAGAGUUAAACAGUAUGUGAAAUUGUUAAAAGGGAACCGUUUGGAGCCAGACUGGUUUGACUGUAAUCAACCUAGAAUUCGUUUUGGGUGCACUUGCAGUCUAUACCUGCCAACAACAGUUUGAUUUGGAGGAAAAAAUUAGUAGGAAUGUGGCCUUUCGAGGUGUUAUAGCCUACUAUCAUACUCUGGAUUGGACUGAGGAACGCAGCGAAUGCCAUUAGGCGAGAUUGCUGGGUGCUUUCGCUAAUAAAUGUUAGAAUUUCUGCUUCGGGUGGUGCUAAUGUUUAAAGGAGGAACACAUCUAGUAUAUUUUUUAUUCGCUUAGGUUGUUGGCUUAAUGACUCUAAAUGACCCGUCUUGAAACACGGACCAAGGAGUCCACCAUAAGUGCAAGUAUUUGAGUGACAAACUCAUAUGCGUAAGGAAACUGAUUGAUACGAAGUCUUACGAUGGCAGUAUCACCCGGCGUUGACGUUUUAUACUGAACUGACCGAGGUAAAGCACUUAUGAUGGGACCCGAAAGAUGGUGAACUAUGCCUGAAUAGGGUGAAGCCAGAGGAAACUCUGGUGGAGGCUCGUAGCGAUUCUGACGUGCAAAUCGAUCGUCAAAUUUGGGUAUAGGGGCGAAAGACUAAUCGAACCAUCUAGUAGCUGGUUCCUGCC
RNAcentral lists this ribosomal RNA (1013 nucleotides) under Mucor janssenii. RNAcentral's name for it is "LSU rRNA". It matches the Rfam family "Eukaryotic large subunit ribosomal RNA", at positions 38 to 962 of the family's 3401-position model. The record is from RNAcentral. Lineage: Eukaryota; Fungi; Mucoromycota; Mucoromycetes; Mucorales; Mucoraceae.